GACGAACGCUGGCGGCGUGCCUAAUACAUGCAAGUCGAACGAGUGGCGGACGGGGGAGGAAUAUCUGGGAAACUGCGUGGUGUAGGGGGAGAACACCGUGAAACGGUAGCUAAUACCUCAUACCAUCAGAUGUGCCCAGAUGUGAUUAGCUAGUAGGUGGGGUAAUGGCUCACCUAGGCGACGAUCCCUAGCUGGUCUGAGAGGAUGACCAGCCACACUGGAACUGCGACACGGUCCAGACUCCUACGGGAGGCAGCAGUGGGGAAUAUUGCACAAUGGGCGCAAGCCUGAUGCAGCCAUGCCGCGUGUGUGAAGAAGGCCUUCGGGUUGUAAAGCACUUUCAGCGGGGAGGCGUUACUCGCAGAAGAAGCACCGGCUAACUCCGUGCCAGCAGCCGCGGUAAUAC
RNAcentral lists this ribosomal RNA (406 nucleotides) under uncultured bacterium. RNAcentral describes it as "partial 16S ribosomal RNA". It matches the Rfam family "Bacterial small subunit ribosomal RNA", at positions 28 to 526 of the family's 1533-position model. The record is from RNAcentral.